This 828-nucleotide ribosomal RNA is filed under the name uncultured bacterium. RNAcentral's name for it is "bacterial SSU rRNA". It matches the Rfam family "Bacterial small subunit ribosomal RNA", at positions 23 to 898 of the family's 1533-position model. The record is from RNAcentral.
CUCAGAACGAACGCUGGCGGCAGGCUUAACACAUGCAAGUCGAACGCUGUAGCAAUACAGAGUGGCAGACGGGUGAGUAACGCGUGGGAACGUGCCCUUCGGUUCGGAAUAACUCAGGGAAACUUGAGCUAAUACCGGAUACGUGCGAGAGCAGAAAGAUUUAUCGCCGAAGGAUCGGCCCGCGUCCGAUUAGCUAGUUGGUGAGGUAAUGGCUCACCAAGGCGACGAUCGGUAGCUGGUCUGAGAGGAUGAUCAGCCACACUGGGACUGAGACACGGCCCAGACUCCUACGGGAGGCAGCAGUGGGGAAUAUUGGACAAUGGGCGAAAGCCUGAUCCAGCCAUGCCGCGUGAGUGAUGAAGGCCCUAGGGUUGUAAAGCUCUUUCGCCAGGGACGAUAAUGACGGUACCUGGAUAAGAAGCCCCGGCUAACUUCGUGCCAGCAGCCGCGGUAAUACGAAGGGGGCUAGCGUUGUUCGGAUUUACUGGGCGUAAAGCGCACGUAGGCGGAUCUUUAAGUCGGGGGUGAAAUCCCGGGGCUCAACCUCGGAACUGCCUUUGAUACUGGAGGUCUCGAGUCCGGGAGAGGUGAGUGGAACUGCGAGUGUAGAGGUGAAAUUCGUAGAUAUUCGCAAGAACACCAGUGGCGAAGGCGGCUCACUGGCCCGGUACUGACGCUGAGGUGCGAAAGCGUGGGGAGCAAACGGGAUUAGAUACCCUGGUAGUCCACGCCGUAAACGAUGGAUGCUAGCCGUUGGGGAGCUUGCUCUUCAGUGGCGCAGCUAACGCUUUAAGCAUCCCGCCUGGGGAGUACGGUCGCAAGAUUAAA